This 288-nucleotide ribosomal RNA is filed under the name uncultured bacterium. RNAcentral describes it as "partial 16S ribosomal RNA". It matches the Rfam family "Bacterial small subunit ribosomal RNA", at positions 29 to 342 of the family's 1533-position model. The record is from RNAcentral.
AACGAACGCUGGCGGCGUGGCUAAGACAUGCAAGUCGAACGCCCGUAGCAAUACGGGAGUGGCAGACGGGUGAGUAACGCGUGGGAACGUGCCCUUCGGUUCGGAAUAACUCAGGGAAACUUGAGCUAAUACCGGAUACGUCCGUAAGGAGAAAGAUUUAUCGCCGAAGGAUCGGCCCGCGUCGGAUUAGCUAGUUGGUGAGGUAACGGCCCACCAAGGCGACGAUCCGUAGCUGGUCUGAGAGGAUGAUCAGCCACACUGGGACUGAGACACGGCCCAGACCCCUAC